UCCACAAUCUAUCACACGAGUCCCUCUCUCGCUUCCUCUUCCAUCGACAGAUCGACUAGCCACCGCUCGUCGCCACUCUCCAUCAACGUUCGAUUAGCUUCUUCUCCUCAGAAGUUGUUGUUGGCUUGAGUUCUGAUUGAUAAAAGAAAGACAAUGGGAGAGAAGAAUCCCCUAGUUUUUAUGGAUGUCUCUGUGGAUAAGGUGCAUGUUGGAAGGAUGGUUUUUGAGCUAUUCAAAGAUGUUGCCCCUGCAACAGUAGAAAAUUUUCGUGCCUUAUGUACUGGUAAUAA
Neltuma alba is the source of this 290-nucleotide long non-coding RNA. RefSeq lists it as uncharacterized. The record is from RefSeq and is a predicted model, not a curated record. The transcript has 3 exons. NCBI's taxonomy places the organism in Eukaryota, Viridiplantae, Streptophyta, Magnoliopsida, Fabales, Fabaceae.